GCCCACUGAAUAUCCUUAAAGGGCCGCAGUAUCCUGACUGUGCUAAGGUAGCGUAAUCAACUGUCCCCUAAAUAGUGACCCGUAUGAACGGUUAUACGAAGGAGAAACUGUCUUCUGGGUAAGCAUGUAAAUUAACUUUUUAGUUAAAAGGCUAAAAUAAACCAAUAAGACGAGAAGACCCUAUAGAGUUUGACACUGCUUCCUUAUAAAGACUAUACAUUUUGUUCUCACUCCUUUUUAAGUUAAUAAAGUGUUUGAUUGGGGCGAUAGAAAAAUACAUAAAACUUUUUUUUUAUUCGACUUUUUAUAAGAAGAUAACUUGAUCCGAUAUUAACGAUUAUAAGAAAAAAUUACCUUAGGGAUAACAGCGUAAUACUUAUUAAGAGUUCAUAUUGACGUAAGUGUUUGCGACCUCGAUGUUGGACUAAAAAUUCUUCGUAAUGCAGCAGUUAUGAAAGUGGGUCUGUUCGACCCUUAAAAUUUUACACGAUCUGAGUUCAGACCGGCGUGAGCCAGGUUG
Molecule: ribosomal RNA, 520 nt
Filed under: Auritoglyptes bicornis
Lineage: Eukaryota; Metazoa; Arthropoda; Thecostraca; Lithoglyptida; Lithoglyptidae
Description: partial 16S ribosomal RNA
Rfam family: Bacterial large subunit ribosomal RNA
Source: RNAcentral